UCUGAUAUUUCGAAUUACUUGGUAGAGAAGAUACUCUCUAGGGCUCCCAUAACUUGUCUCGGAGCGGUGAGAACCACAUGCAAACGAUGGAACGCUUUAUCCAAAGAAAAUACUUUAUGUAAUGGAGAAGCAAGACAUCAGUUUCUGGGGUUUAUGACGAAAAAGUAUAAGCUUUGUUCAAUGAGGUUCAGAUCUCAAUGGAAAAUAUAACGAAGGAGGAGGUGACGAUUUCGUGGAUCCAAC
Molecule: small RNA, 243 nt
Filed under: Arabidopsis thaliana (thale cress)
Lineage: Eukaryota; Viridiplantae; Streptophyta; Magnoliopsida; Brassicales; Brassicaceae
Description: ATSL142700
Source: RNAcentral